Molecule: long non-coding RNA, 409 nt
Filed under: Elaeis guineensis (African oil palm)
Lineage: Eukaryota; Viridiplantae; Streptophyta; Magnoliopsida; Arecales; Arecaceae
Description: long non-coding RNA (EGUI_LNC063984)
Source: RNAcentral
AUCCAAUUAGGAAUUAACAGAACUUAAGUUUUGAUCAAAUCAGAAAUUAGUUUUUCUUGUAAUUAGGCUUGAUCUAAUCAAAUCCAAUCCAAAUCAAACUGAAUCCAAUUCAAUUAGACUUGGUCCAAACCUCAUUACUCAAUCAAACUAAGUCAAUUAGCAAUCUAAUUGCUAAUAAAUUCUUUAUUAACAGCAGAGUCCCAGUCUAGUGGAACUCUUUAGUAGAGUCCCAAUCCAGUGGGACUCUUCACCAGAUCGGCCAUCUGAUUAGAUCGAAAUUUUUAAUGUGUGUGACCCCAUAGGUUCAAACCUAAACUGGUAGUACAGGAAUAAAUUUUUAUACUAAUUGAUGUAACCAUCUAGCAAUAGGAUCCAAUAUUCGGAUGGGUCGAAAGAUUACAAAGCAACA